AGUGAACGCUGGCGGUAGGCCUAACACAUGCAAGUCGAACGGCAGCACAGUAAGAGCUUGCUCUUACGGGUGGCGAGUGGCGGACGGGUGAGGAAUACAUCGGAAUCUACUUUUUCGUGGGGGAUAACGUAGGGAAACUUACGCUAAUACCGCAUACGACCUACGGGUGAAAGCAGGGGAUCUUCGGACCUUGCGCGAUUGAAUGAGCCGAUGUCGGAUUAGCUAGUUGGCGGGGUAAAGGCCCACCAAGGCGACGAUCCGUAGCUGGUCUGAGAGGAUGAUCAGCCACACUGGAACUGAGACACGGUCCAGACUCCUACGGGAGGCAGCGGUGGGGAAUAUUGGACAAUGGGCGCAAGCCUGAUCCAGCCAUACCGCGUGGGUGAAGAAGGCCUUCGGGUUGUAAAGCCCUUUUGUUGGGAAAGAAAAGCAGCAGGUUAACACCCCGCUGUUCUGACGGUACCCAAAGAAUAAGCACCGGCUAACUUCGUG
This 492-nucleotide ribosomal RNA is filed under the name uncultured bacterium. RNAcentral's name for it is "partial 16S ribosomal RNA". It matches the Rfam family "Bacterial small subunit ribosomal RNA", at positions 29 to 507 of the family's 1533-position model. The record is from RNAcentral.